RNAcentral lists this long non-coding RNA (276 nucleotides) under Phascolarctos cinereus (koala). RNAcentral's name for it is "lncRNA (ENSPCIG00000034426.1)". Lineage: Eukaryota; Metazoa; Chordata; Mammalia; Diprotodontia; Phascolarctidae. The record is from RNAcentral.
GUCCAUUCAUUUAAUACAGUAACUCAGAGCACAUUCACCGGUCACACUUGAGGUGGUGGAGGCUCUGUAGGCAAAUUACAUUUGACUUCAAGGUCUCUUCCAGCACCAGAUUGUCCUCUUCAUCAUCACAGAGUGUAUGUCUCAAGAUUUUUCCCCUUCUGAUCAGCCAAAUCAGUGUUUCUGGAGUUAUGAAGCAGUUCACGUUGGGGAGAAAAAAAAAGCCACAAGAACAGAUGCUAAUUGAAAAAGUAUGAAUGAAUAAAUAUUGAGUUGGUG